CCAUGCGGACGGAUUGUGACAGUUCGGCGCAGACAGUGUAUCAUCUACAAGCUGGGGUUCUCUAUGGAUAGAGAAAUUAUGUUUCGUUUACGAGACCACAUAACUCUGCCAAGUUGAAAGCAUGGAAAAACUGCAUCAGUCACAGCAGGUGAGGAUGGUCCAGUAAGAACAAAGCAGUGUGUGUGUGUGUGUGUGUGCACGCGCGUGUGUGUGUGUGUGUGUGUGUGUGUGCAUCUGCCGAACGUGCCAUGAGCAGUUCCAUUCGACUUUUAAGGGCUGAACAGAUAUUAGUGCCAGAGUGUACUACAUUUACAUCGUCCUCGACAGGGUCAACAAGUGUGAGUGAUGUCAGUGCCCGACCACACAAGGUUUGUGGGCCGCAGCCUAGUUCUUCCUCGAAUACAGUAAUUGAGGAUCAUCUCAAUUGAUAUCUCAGCUACACUGACGUUGGCAAUGUUCAUGUUGACGAUCAUUGAUAAUAGACAUCUGUGCGCACCCCCCCCACACACACCCACAC
Alosa sapidissima (American shad) is the source of this 517-nucleotide long non-coding RNA. RefSeq lists it as uncharacterized. Lineage: Eukaryota; Metazoa; Chordata; Actinopteri; Clupeiformes; Clupeidae. The record is from RefSeq and is a predicted model, not a curated record. The transcript is spliced from 3 exons.